UAGGGAAUCUUCGGCAAUGGACGAAAGUCUGACCGAGCAACGCCGCGUGAGUGAAGAAGGUUUUCGGAUCGUAAAACUCUGUUGUUAGAGAAGAACAAGGACGUUAGUAACUGAACGUCCCCUGACGGUAUCUAACCAGAAAGCCACGGCUAACUACGUGCCAGCAGCCGCGGUAAUACGUAGGUGGCAAGCGUUGUCCGGAUUUAUUGGGCGUAAAGCGAGCGCAGGCGGUUUCUUAAGUCUGAUGUGAAAGCCCCCGGCUCAACCGGGGAGGGUCAUUGGAAACUGGGAGGCUUGAGUGCAGAAGAGGAGAGUGGAAUUCCAUGUGUGGCGGUGAAAUGCGUAGAUAUAUGAAGGAACACCAGUGGCGAAGGCGGCUCUCUGGUCUGUAACGGACGCUGAGGCUAGAAGGCGUGGGGAGCAAACAGG
RNAcentral lists this ribosomal RNA (429 nucleotides) under Gemmatimonadota bacterium. RNAcentral's name for it is "Gemmatimonadetes bacterium partial 16S ribosomal RNA". It matches the Rfam family "Bacterial small subunit ribosomal RNA", at positions 355 to 776 of the family's 1533-position model. The record is from RNAcentral. Lineage: Bacteria; Pseudomonadati; Gemmatimonadota.